GUGAAACAUCUCAACGUCAUCAACCAAUCCACCAAUCACAAACUCUGGGAAGUUUGGGACUCCAGAAGACCCGGUGUAGAAAUACUUCAGAGAGAUCAACGGAGUCAACUUUCUGCAGGUGUCUGGGAGUUUUGGAUGGUCUGUUUCAGAAUCCUCCACUGUCCUCUGCUCUCUCAAUCAACACACAGAUCACAUUUCUGGCUGGAGCUGCACUUUACAAUUCUCCACUAGUCACCUAAACAUCUCUUACAAAUCUGUCCCAGAAUCAAUAAAUGAAUAGAUCAAAUAUUUAAACAACAGUAGAGCUCUGUGAUGCUGGAUCUUUGAGGCUGAUACUGAUAUCAAUACUUUUAGUUUGGUUUUAAAAUCUGAUAUAACAGUCGAUCUGCUUUCAAAUAAAUGGGCACAUGACAUAAAUAAUGAGUCUGACCCAGAUCCACACUGAUCAGAACAUUUCCCAGUUUAAAGAUCAACUUGUGCUCUCUGGUGGACAAACUAUGUAAUGAUGACUCGUUUCUAAAUGAGCUCAGACCUAGUUUACUGUUUCCUGUUAUCAGCCAACAUAUCCACUGAUACCAAUAUAUAUCUGCUAUAAGAUGAUAUCAGCUAAUCAUAUGGAUGGAGGAUUUAUCUUCAAGCUCAGUAAACUAUAUUCAUGUUUCAGUUUAUGGAGUCAAACUCUUGAAUUAUCUGAUGAAUGGCUUCAAAUAUUUAGUUUUUAUGAGAUGCAAUUUUUAUUUUAUAGUGAGCAAAACAAUCAGUGUAACAAUCUAAUGUACAAAUAGCUAUUCUAUCUAUUCUAUCCUUCCCUGUUUUUCUGUGCUCACAUUAUGUCAAAUGAUUCUCUACAUAUUGGUUAUUUAUUUAUUUAGCCUGUACAGGUGUGGAGAUCAAAUAGUGACGUCAAAAUAUGUAUAAUAAUUUCUCAAAAAAACAUCAUGAUUAAUAACACUGAAUUAAUUUUUAUUUUUAUUUCAACAACGUUUCCAAAGUGGAUUUAUUGGACUGUGUUGCUGGGUUGCAAUGGACAUUGCAAAUGGGAUUAGCUGCUUGGAACAAUGUUAGUUAUAAGCGUAAGCCAUUGCAUAUCUCAAGAUUUCAAACAUCUACAAUCAUGAUUAAUUCAUAAAUUAAUGCCAACUCACUUUUAAUAUAAAACGCUCAUGAAUAAGUUAAUAAAAUGAAAUGAAACUC
Molecule: long non-coding RNA, 1194 nt
Organism: Perca fluviatilis (European perch)
Lineage: Eukaryota; Metazoa; Chordata; Actinopteri; Perciformes; Percidae
Exons: 2
Source: RefSeq, a predicted model, not a curated record